This 65-nucleotide transfer RNA is filed under the name Canthesancus helluo. RNAcentral's name for it is "tRNA-Arg". The record is from RNAcentral. Lineage: Eukaryota; Metazoa; Arthropoda; Insecta; Hemiptera; Reduviidae.
AAGUAAUGAAGUAAAAAUUACAUUUAGUUUCGACCUAAAAUUAAGAGAAUAAUUCUCCUUGCUUA